CCUACGGGUGGCUGCAGUGGGGAAUAUUGCACAAUGGGCGAAAGCCUGAUGCAGCCAUGCCGCGUGUGUGAAGAAGGCCUUCGGGUUGUAAAGCACUUUCAGCGAGGAGGAAAGGUCAGUAAGUAAUAUUUGCUGGCUGUGACGUUACUCGCAGAAGAAGCACCGGCUAAUUUAGUGCCAGCAGCCGCGGUAAUACUAAAGGUGCAAGCGUUAAUCGGAAUUACUGGGCGUAAAGCGCGCGUAGGUGGUUUGUUAAGUUGGAUGUGAAAGCCCAGGGCUCAACCUUGGAACUGCAUUCAAAACUGACUCACUAGAGUACGAGAGAGGUUAGUGGAAUUUCCUGUGUAGCGGUGAAAUGCGUAGAGAUGGGAAGGAACACCAGUGGCGAAGGCGACUGACUGGCUCGAUACUGACACUGAGGUGCGAAAGCGUGGGGAGCAAACAGGAUUAGAUACCCCAGUAGUC
Molecule: ribosomal RNA, 465 nt
Filed under: uncultured bacterium
Lineage: Bacteria
Description: bacterial SSU rRNA
Rfam family: Bacterial small subunit ribosomal RNA
Source: RNAcentral